UGGCCUUAAAGUUUUUCAACUUACAUUGCUUUUGUCUUUUGAAGUUCACUUGUGUCAACUUGCAUCGUAACGGAACCAACACAACACCCCUGACUCUAGUUGCGAAAUUAAGUGAGCUAAGAGUUUCAUCCAAGUCCUUGUCCGAUGGACUGAUUUGCACGAACAUCAGUUUUAGCGUCACCCCCUACAUGUUAGGGAAGAGCAUUAUCAAUACAUGC
Non-coding RNA from Arachis ipaensis, 218 nucleotides. The record is from RefSeq and is a predicted model, not a curated record. Lineage: Eukaryota; Viridiplantae; Streptophyta; Magnoliopsida; Fabales; Fabaceae.